GCCCAAUCACCGACGCACCCACGAGCCCUUCUCUCCCAUGCACCCACGGCUGCCAACCCUAGCCCUCUCCCUCCCUCAGAUCUCAAUCUUCCGCCGCCCCAACCCAAUCCCUACCCCCACGUAGCCCAACCCAAUCCGCCGCCGUCCUCUUCUCUAGUCGCACCGGCGAGCUCCAACCUCAUCGCCGGCAGCCCCUCCCCUCUCCUCCUAGAUCCACUCGGGCUACUCAUGUCGUGGCCAGAUCUGGCAGGAACUCCCUCCCUCCCACCUCGCUCCGAAUCCCGAUCCAUACGCACACACAGACAGAGCUUUGGGAGCUCCUGCUCGGCUGCUCACGGCCACGGUCCAUGGACGACGCGGACAUGCGGGAGGUGCUGCUGUACCGGGACGGGCUGGUCACGGCCGCCGCGUCCGUACCGGUGGCCACGUCGGGGGCUUUCCUGCCCGAGGGGAUCGCGGUCGGCGACGCCGUCUGGCUCUUCUACGCCGCCAGGGCCCGGGGGCUCACUCCCCCCUCCGCGCGCAGUUCACCGUCCUUGUCAAGUCCAACAUCUUCAUCGAGGGCGUCUCCCACAAGAUUCGCCGGUAGAUCGAGGACCUGGAGCGCGCCGGAAGGGUCGAGCCUGGCACCCUCACCGUCGACGGCGUCCCCGCAGACAGCUACCUCACCAGGUUCGCGUGGGACGAGGGCAAGUACCCCGUCAACGCCCCGUUCAAGGAGACCGUCAGCAGCAUCCAGUCCCAGGUCGCCAAGAUCGAGGAUGACAUGAAGAUUUGUAGAAGCUGCCGCUGCUGUAGGUGGAACAGGAAGAAGCCCUCAUGGCUGCUGCACAUCUGAAGUGGUGUUGCAUGUUCUGGAAGAUGGAAGAGGAAGAAAACCUAUUUUGUUGAACUAAAUUUUUUGUAUUCUGUUUUGUUGUACGUAUCAUUUGAUAGUUUUGUAUAGGAACAAGUGAUACUAUUUUGUAGGGCAUUAUGGCUUGUGAUGUAAACAUAUUUAGUUCUGAAAUAUGAAAUUAUUUGCAAAAUUUGUUGAAAAGGAGGAUCAUAUGUAUGAAUAUGUGAAUGGGCUGAAAACAGUACUGGACCAACUCUAGGAUUGAAUUAUUAUUUGAAUGUAUAAAAAGGCUGAAUGUAAA
Molecule: non-coding RNA, 1139 nt
Organism: Aegilops tauschii subsp. strangulata
Lineage: Eukaryota; Viridiplantae; Streptophyta; Magnoliopsida; Poales; Poaceae
Source: RefSeq, a predicted model, not a curated record